AUUGAAUAAUAAGUUAUAGGUUUUUUUAUAGAAAAAUUAAAAGGGAAUGUGGUUAAAAGCCACAACAGCCCCCGCUACUGUAAUAGCAGACAAAUCGGAUAAACCACUGACGAUAAGUUGGGAAGGAAAGAAGAGGAUGAAGCUAAAGUCAGGAGACCUGCCUAUAACUUCGCAGCAGU
RNAcentral lists this non-coding RNA (179 nucleotides) under Clostridium tetanomorphum. Lineage: Bacteria; Bacillati; Bacillota; Clostridia; Eubacteriales; Clostridiaceae. The record is from RNAcentral.